UUUUCCCAGGCAAACAAUUUUCGAGCAGCUCAGGUGUGUAUCGCACUAUCUGUGUUGGAAGCAACAAACAACGAUUCUUCAACCCACAAACACGACAGGUCUAAUUAAGAACUCCUCCUACCCUGGAUAAGAGAGGAGGUGGAAGUCAUCAGUUUGGAUCAGCAACAUUUUCACCACCUUCAGGAAUGAAAACACUGCCUGCAUGGCAAUGAGUGGUGACACACCUGGAAGGGGCAUCCCAGUUGGAGGUGAUUAGCAAUCAGGUGGAGCUGGCAUAAAGGAGGCAGACAGAAAGUAGCGCUGACCCUUUCUCGUGCACUCAAUCAUUGCUUUGUGUGUGUGAGAGACCAAGCAAAAAGUGCUCCUUGAUAUACUUUGCGCUGUUUGCUGUGGGCUCGGCCAUUUUGUUUAGAACUGUGUUUUUUGCCGAGUGUGGCGUGUUUAGUUUCAUAGAGAGGUGUACUCACUCUGCCCAUUUUCUGGGGGGACGUUUGUUUCCCCUUUUUGUAUUUUUCAGCAUUUUUGCUUCAAUAGUUGUUUUACGUCAUGGUUCUUUCACCUAUCAGUUAUUUUUCCUGCUUGGUAACUUUUGUUCCUGCAGUG
This is a long non-coding RNA of Dunckerocampus dactyliophorus (ringed pipefish), 603 nucleotides long. RefSeq lists it as uncharacterized. The transcript is spliced from 4 exons. Lineage: Eukaryota; Metazoa; Chordata; Actinopteri; Syngnathiformes; Syngnathidae. The record is from RefSeq and is a predicted model, not a curated record.